RNA transcript from Rhea pennata, 8069 nucleotides. It is a transcript of the gene named BTB domain containing 8, with no coding region annotated. Lineage: Eukaryota; Metazoa; Chordata; Aves; Rheiformes; Rheidae. The record is from RefSeq and is a predicted model, not a curated record. The transcript is spliced from 19 exons.
AUGGCGCGCUGCGGCGGCGGCGGCGGCGCCGCGCCCAGGGGCCCCGGUGCGGCGGCGGCGGCGGCGGAGCGGCAGCGGCUGAAGGAGGCGCUGGCCGAGCAGCUGCGGCAGGACCUGGGCAGGCUGCUGGCGGAGGGAACGCGCGCCGACGUGACGCUCCGCGCGGGCGGCGCGGCGCUGCGGGCGCACCGGGCGGUGCUGCUGGCGCGGGCGCCGCGGCUCUUCGGCGGCCUGGGCCUGGGCUGGUGCCGGGGGCGGCCGCCCGCGGCCUGCGAGCCGCUGCGGCUGGACGGCGUGGGGCCCGCCGAGCUCCGGCGCUUCCUGCGGCUUGUAUAUUCAUCUGAUAUAAAUCUUAAAGAAGCCGAAGAACUAGCUAUGAUGGAAAAAAUAUUGGGACCCAAAUUAAUACAAGAAAAUGAGAUUGCUGCUCUUCAGAACACUCAGAUAACAAAUGUAAAUUGUCUUGGAGAUGACAAAAGAACAACUACUAAGCAGAAUUCUCUAAGUGGAGCUAUGCUAAAAGAAGUCGCCUGUUCACCUUCUAUUGAAGAAGAAAUUCCAGGAGCCGAUGCAGAAAGCAAGAAAGCUACAGCAGGUAAUUCCAAGCUAGAAACUGCAUCUGUACUAGGAGAAGACUUAAUGAUGCUCUACAGGAAGUGUUGUUGUCCAGAUAUUACUAUUUGUGCAGAAGGCAAAGAGUUUCAAGCUCACAGGGCCAUUCUAUGUGCCAGAUCUAGAUACUUUGCUGCUAUGCUGAGUGGAAGUUGGGCUGAAAGCUCCCAAGAGCACAUCACUCUUCAAGGCAUAAACCAUGUAGAAAUGAGUGUCAUCUUGCAUUUUAUAUAUGGAGGUAUUCUGGACUUUCCAGACAAAGUUGAUGUUGGUCGCAUAUUGGGCAUUGCAGAUAUGUAUGGGCUAGAUGGGCUUAAAGAAGUAGCUAUCUACAUUUUGAAAAGAGAUUACUGCAAUUUUUUCCAAAAGCCUGUUCCUGGAAAGCAGCAACCUGUGCUAGAAUGUAUGGCUAUUGCUCAUUCAUUGGGAGUGGAAAACCUAUAUGCUGCCUGUAUGAAAUGGGUACAAAAACAUUUUGUGAAGUGUUUGUCUGAGAGAAGCUUUGCCAGUUUACCUGAUGAACUUCAGAACAACUGUCUUGUUAUGUUGAUUCAGUCUUUAAACCAUACGAAUGCUCCUUUGCUUUUGAUGGAAAGUGAUCGGCUGAUCAGUAGUCUUCCUCAAGUGAAAUGGACUGAGACAGCUUUUGCCUUGGCAUCUAGGCUACAAGAAGAAUGCAUAACGUUUAUUGUGGCAAACUUCCUACAUAUAGUACAAAGUGAAGGCUUCUAUAUUUUGUUGCAGGCACAGGCAAUGAGCAGCGAACCUGACCUUCUAGAACUAAUUUUUAAUGCAAUUGAAAGAAAUAUUAAUACUGAAAACAGCUGCUUGCUUCUUGUAGCUGUGGAUAUGUUGUUGAACUCCACAAAUGUGAAGGAGAUGGGUUUUACGUGCAAGAUCCAGGCUCUGCGUGAUAAGCUCUGGGUCUUCCUGGUUCAGUCUUUUUAUGCUGUUCGUCACACAGAAGGCUGGAAGCUGAUGAGGCCAGACCAUCAAGAAAAAAUAGAGGCAGCGGCUUUUGACAAGGGUGAUAAUCGAAGACUUAGCAAAAAACCUGUAUUCACUAGUUCUCAGCUAAACAAAUCCGCAGGUGAAUCAGUUGGUAUAAAGAAUACAUCCUGGACAGAACAAGGCAGGAAAGAUUGCUGGGGAAAUACUUCCACUAAUCAGGAUAAAAUGAAAUCUGACGGAUUAGGAGCAUCUGGACAUACAUCAAGCACCAACAGAAACACCACUAAUAAAGCUUCAAAGAAUGAGGAUGUAAAGGGAAAAGAUGGCAAAAAAACAGUUUCCAAAAUUACUAAAGAUUCAAAACCUGGAGAAAAAGUUGCUUCACCAAAGGCUAGAGCUGUUAUAAAGCCAAAAAUAGAAAAUAAUGGAAAUGUAAAAGCUGAAAGCAUGCUUACCAAGCAAGACGUUGAAAAGACCUCAUCUGCAAGUGGACAGAAAAAUUCAGGAAGUGGCAAAGGACUAAAGAACCAAGAAGGAAAAACUGCAGGUGCUAGACCUAAAAUGCUGACUGGAACCUCAAGUGCGCAGAUCAAAUCAAAGCCAUUGAAAAAAAACACAGGAAAGGAAUCUCCUUCCUCUUUAACUGGGGCAGGAACUUCCAGCAAAUCAACAAAUUCAAACAUAGAUAUCCAGCCUGCCAGUGAGCAGACAGAAGAACCCAAAGAGCAUAAAUUGGUGGAAGAAGAAAAAAUAUAUACUGUGAAAACAAAGUUGUCUUUGAAGACAUCAAAUGGACUUACCAGCAAAAAAAAAAAGACUGAGCUUGAGACUAAUGCUGCAGCAAGCAGUGUGGCAAAAAAAUCAACUGUAAAAGUGUGUAAUGAACAAAAUGUACAAGCAGCUCUGAAGAGAAAAGGCACUAUGAGUAGCAAUUCUGCAAUUCAGCAGAAGGCACAGAACACACCUACCAAUUCUCCCCAAAACCAAGGAUCUCAGGGAGGAUCACCAAAUUCACUGAAAUCAGGAAUGUCUCUGAAACAAAAUGAAGAAAAAUAUGUGAUACAACAUCUGGUUAAGACAACACUUUCAGAAAAACAUCCUUCAACUAAAAAAAAGAGUGUUAAACAGAUGCAAACACCUGUAGCAAAAGCCACUGCAAAAAUAACACCUAAAACUCAGACUCAGUCAAAGCAUAGUGAGAAUAUGAACAAUAAAGACCCAAAACUGAAAACAGCUGGGCAAUCUGCAUUAAAAUCACAGUCCUCUGCCCAAAAACAUUCAAGAAGUGAAUCUCCUGUUGUCCAGAAGACUAUGCACAACUCUGAGCACAGAACUUCAGGACAGAAACUGGAAAAACAUACGGCUGAUGCUGUGGCAGUUCAGCUUCAGGAAAAUAAUGAAUACUGUUCUGCAAAGCAAAAUGAGUAUUUGAACUCUUUGAAGGAAGACAGCAAAGAAGAUAUACUCUUGGAAUCCUGUCAACAUGAUAAACAAAAAUUAUUGAAUCCUCCCGACAGUGGGGAAUACAUAUUACAAUCUGAAUCACCUUCUCCUCUAAAUAUUGAACAAACUAUUCCUAAAACAAAUGUUUCAGUCCAAAAUGAAAUGGAAGCAAAACAAAUCUGCGGAGAUGCGACUGAAAUUGAACAGCUUAAAGAUGCAAGGAAAGAUGAUGAUGUUGCUGAAUUUCACUGUCUCACAGAGUGUGCUAGUGAUGGAUACUCAGACUUUUCCAAGGAAACUAAUCAAAAGGCAACUGCUUCAGGAGAAAAGAUGAAACAUUCAGAAGCAGCAGAAGUCUGGGCUGAACAAAGUAAUACAUUAAACACAGAAAUAGGUCUGAACUAUGGUGAAAACAUUUUACCAAGCUUUUCUAAAAGGAUAUCCACUAAAAAGAAUGAAAUAUCAUCUCAAAUUCAUAUGGAGGGAUUUCUGACAGCUGAUGAUUCAUGUGAUAGAUCAGCCUUGACUGAAUACAAAUCAGUUGCAGAAGAUUUAGAUGAUGUUUCAAAAUGUGCCGCAGAACAAGUAGCAGAAAAAUGUUCACCUAAUUACACAGAGCCUACAGAUGCUACAGAAAUGCCAAAAAAACAUGAAAAUGCAGAAAUCAUGGACCACUGGAGUACAGGGGCACUUGAUCCAAAAGAGAGUCCUGAGUCAGAUACUGGCAGUGCUACCACAUCCUCUGAUGAUAUAAAACCAAGAUCAGAAGAUUAUGAUGCUGGAGGCUCUCAGGAUGAUGAAGGAUCCAAUGAAAGAGGGAUUUCCAAAUGCAGCACUAUGUUAUGCCAUGAUUUUCUUGGAAGAAGCAGUAGUGACACAAGUACACCUGAGGAAUUAAAAAUUUAUGACAGCAGCCUAAGAAUAGAAGUGAAAAUGAAAAAAGAGGGUUCUGAUCUAUUCCGUGUUAAUUCAACAAGCGACGAUGAAAUACCAAGAAAAAGAUCUGAAAUCUGGUCACAUCAAGAAAGUGCAAAACGGACCAAUACUAGAGAAAAUGAAAGUUCUACUUUUGGCAAUGCCCAGUUUACUCAGGAAACAGACCAAGUUUCUUCUUCUGCUGAUGAAACAGAGGAUGACAGAUCUGAAGCAGAAAAUGUUGCAGAAAACUUUCCUCCAUCAGAUGUUCCUACUCAGCAGUUCCAAGGAAUUGAUAAUUUAGCUUUUGAAGAUGCAACAGAAAAUAAUACUGCAAGACAAGACUUUUCUAAAACUAAAAAUUUCAAACGAUCCAUUUUACUUUCAGUAGAUGAAUGUGAAGAAAUGGGAUCAGAUGAUAGAGCGGAAGCUCGUACAUCACGUCAGCAUUCAAUAGAUUCUCUUACUCCUUCAGAUGUAUUCGACAGUGUUUCUCAUGAGCAUCACGGAACGACUUUUUAUUCAAGAUAUUCACUGGAAAUUGAAGAUGGAUUCCUGGACUGCAAACAGCAUAAGGAUAGAGGCAACAGACUGGAUAACAGUGAAAGUUCUCUUCUUUGUGACACUGAAAUCCUAGGAAAGGAGAAUCAAGGUGCUUCAACGGCUGAACAAAACUGUCCAGAGAAGGUAUACUGUGCAGCAAGUCUGUGUCCACCAGCAGAAAAGCAAAAAGUAAAUACGAAGAAUGAAAUAGCUAGUGAAUUUCAACAGUGCAAUAAAUUCUUAGACAAUGAUGCAAAAUCUCAAGAACGACCAUGUCAUCUGGAUCUUCUUCACAGAGAUGCUAAUUCUGAUAUGCAAAAGAGCAGCUCUGCAAAACCUGUAGAACCCGAUAAGAAUCAAUUACUGACUCAGGAAAGUCAAGUGAGAGACAGUCAACCAGCAACUACUGAAUACGCUAAUACUGAUUUACUUCCAGGAGACAUAGAUGAUUAUGACACAAUGGCACAAACCUGCAUGUAUGAACAUCGACCUUCAAAAACCCUUUCUCCAAUAUAUGAGAUGGAUGUUGGAGAAGCAAUUGAGCAGAGGAUGGAUUCGGGAACAGCAGUUCUAGAUGUGGAUUUUGAAGAUCAGCAAUUUGCAGAACAGGAUUGGACUCUUCUCAGGCAAUUAUUAUCUGAGCAAGACUCAAAUAUAGGUUUCAAAAACUCUGUUCCUGAAGACCUUAACUUAGCACAAUGUCUUAUCAAUCAGACACUGUUUCUGGCACGAGAUGGUUCUAAUCCUCAGGGUUCAUCACAAGUUGACACUUUCAGUAGGUGGACUGAAAUAAUGUCUCCACUUGAAGAUUCUUCAGCAAGCAUUACAGUGGCAAGCUUUUCAUCUGAAGACUGUUCUUCCCCACAAGGGGAAUGGACAAUUCUUGAACUGGAAACCCAUCAUUAAGAUGAUCAAAUGUUUGCAACUGGACUCCAACCCAUUCCCCAAAUCUAUUUUUGAUGCGUUGUUUCCAUACAAUAAUGAAAUACUGCAUCAGUCAAGAACAAGAAAUUCUUGAAACUGAGGCAAUCUUUCUGAUAUAAGGAGAAAAUCUAAACCUUUGCAUGAGGAAUUAAGAACUGCUGUUAUGUUUUUCAUCUGUUGCUCAGAACCAGAACACUUAAGAAUGAGUAAUUUUGCUUCCACUAAUGUCAAAGUAAAACUCCUGUUGACCUCAGCUGAAGCAGGUUCAGGGCCUACCUAUAUGAAAUGCAUGCAAUUGAAAUGCUGUUUUUCCAAUAUGUGUGUUUCACAGUUCUCUCAGUUUUACUCUACUAGCAUGUAAUAUUGUACAAUUAUAGAUGUGAGAAAUUACAGCUAGAAAGACUUCAAUUUAAGAGUCAUAACUGUGUGCAUUCUGUUAAUAUUUCAUGAUGGGGGGUGAUUAACAGCUAUACACUGACAGAUGACAUUAUUAUUUCCUGGACCCAGCAGGAACUGAGGACAAAAGACAGAAUCAGAGGCAGAAGCUCUGUUAAAAUAGAUAUUUCAUGGAAAAGGGCUUUUAAAUUUGAAAUACUGUAUACUUAGCUUUUUAUUUCUUGCAGAAAAUCCUUAAUUUUUUCAGGUAUAUUUCUUGAACACAAGCUAUGGGUGCUAUUUUUGACAAAUAAGCAUCAGUAUGUUCCAUUCUGGAAGAAUUUCGGAUAAAAUCCAUUCUUUGAUUAAUUUAAAACUAAGCUUCCUGUCAGCAACUACAACAUGUAUUUGAGGGAACUAAACCUGCAGCAGUGAAGAAUUAUUUAUUUUAAAUGCGGAUAUCGACCGGGGAAAAAAAAUUGGUUUCCGUAACAACUUUUUUCUGCCUUUGAUAACUAAUAAGUGAAGAACCACAGAGUGCAUGUGUGUGCACACAUGCACAAAUAUGUUUAUUUUUUUGUGUUUGGCCAUCCUUUUAUACUUUGCUUUACAGUCUACACAAUAUAGUCAAUUAAGCAACAGUUCUGCAAACCUGUAAGCAUGUGAGUGAAUUUGCUUAAACAUUUGCAAGUUGGCUUUCAGGUUAACAAUCACUUCUCAGAAAGGGUAAUGGAACUGGCAUUGGGGGCAGGCAUUGUGCAUACUUGUGUUUUUAUAUAGUACUCAACUUAAUGAGGUUCUAAUCUUGAUGUACCAUCUGGAUGCAGUUAGAGUAUGAAAUGAUUAAUAAUGGAAUUCCAUUAAGUUGCUACCCUGCUCACCUUGAUUUAUUACUGAUCUUCCCCGCUCAGAAGAUAGUUCCAUUAGUGAAAUCAAAGCCCUGAGAAUGUAACUUUUUGCAUUAUGUACAGCAAAAGACUUUUUGCUAUUACACUGUUAAAUAUGAAUAUUGAUGUACAGGUCUUGAAUAACUGAAGCCUCAACUUUUUAGGAGAAUGGAGGAAGGGAGGACAUCAAAACUAGACACAGUUAACUAGGACAUUAGUAAUCAAAAUACUUUUCAUAUUUUAAAAGAGACUGAAGUGGAAUGGAGUGCAUGCACUGUCUAGUGAAUGUGAACAGAGGCUCGCACAUAUAAAUUCUGAACUGGAUGGUUGGUACUCACCUCCCAAUCAGCUGCAUGGGUGCAGCUGUGGGAGACUGAGCCCAAUGACACAGGUAGUCUGUCAGGUUUUACAUACAGGCAUACCAGUAAAAUCAAGUGGCUUUACAAAAAGUACUGAACUUCCUCAGCUCCCAGUGAAGUUUAACAUUUGUUAAAAUCAGCAUAUUUUUUAUACAAGUGUCUGAGCAGAAGGAAUGGUACCAGAAAUAAAAUUUUGGCUCAUGAGCUUAGUAAGGCUCUACCAAAACACUUAAAUUUUACAGGAUCCUCAUUUACACAGUCCUUAUUUAGUCCUCUUUGUGGUUCUAUUCUGAUCAGACAAAUAUGUGAUUUUCUUAAACUUGUGUUUAAUAAGUCAUUUUAAUUCUUCACUUCCUUAUUAUAAUCCUCCUUGUGUGUGGCAUGGCAUUCUGCCUCUCAGUAGAAUUAUAUCAAUGUGCUUAAACUCAGUAUAACCAGGACAAACCAUAUAUACAUGCCAGAUACUGUGUAGGUAGUGUAAAAUCUUUUUGUGUUACUUUCAUAGAAUCAAGUAAUUUUCAUGGCUAUGAACCGGAUAACUACAUAUAUGUCAAACCUCCUACCACACAAAAGUAGCCACUUUUAUUUUUGUGAUAGAGCAGAAAACUUAAAUCCCUAUUUUCUGGAUUACUGUGCUCUAGGAAUUGAGAUUAAUCCUGUGUGUGUGUGUGUGUGUAUGUAUACAUAUCUACAUGCAUGUACACACACACAUACACACACAAAUAUAUAUAUAUAGUAGAGUGCAUUCUGAAAAAAGGCUGAGUCUCUACUGAUAGUCCAUGGCUUUUUGAUCCUAUAAUAGCUUGACUAUUCAAUCAUUUCAGGGAGAAGGGUUAAGCUUUCAAACUGAAUGCUUACAUUUUUUCCACUUGCUUGCUUUUUCAAACAUUUGUCAUUAGGAUCAUAGCUAGGACCUAAGCAACCAUAUUUCCAAAGGAUUUCUCACAAACCCACUUUCUGUUUCCAGAAUCACUGUAUGGUUUCAUACUCCUACAAGCUUUCUUCCCCAUGCUACAUAUUGAAGAUUCUUAGUGGCUUUGUGUAUGACAGAUGGAAAUAA